UUAACAUAUUAAUUAAGUAUUAAUUAUUUUAAACUUAAGAAAUAGAUUAAUACGAUGUUUCUAAAACAACUUUCUUAUAGAUCUUUUCUUAAAAAAUUACACGGUUUAACCGUUCGAGAAACGUGCAUGCACAGAAAGAGAGAAAUCUCUCUCUCUUUGUCCAUGGCUCAAACGUGUGCGCGAGGAAGGAACCGCUUGAGCAAUACUCUGGCCCAGUAUUGUCAAGUCUCGGGCCCCAACAUUAUUUGGGCCUAUCCGGCCCACUUGAGCCAGGCCGGGCCAUAUGGGCCUGCUUGGAUUCCCCUUCAAGCGAUGCACGCGGUGAGCGGCGAGACGCGCCGCAGCGAUGGCGGCGGCGGGAGGAGAGCGAAGGCCGGGGCUGCCUUGCCGGCGGCGAGGUCGAGGGCGCCGGGAAAUCCGUGGCCCUCCUCCUCCGUCGUCGGCGCAGGCCGCCGCACGCGCCGGCCUCUCGGGGAACGGUAGGAAUCACCACUCCCUCCCCUAUGGACCCCGCGCUGCUUCCAUGGGCCUGUACGGCUGCCCGCAGCCGCACGAACAGUGCAGCACUCACUUUGCGAAGCCGCAGCCGCAGCCAUUGGCCUGCCGAACAGAUUGGUGAGAUUGAUGCAAAUUUUCCGGAGCGAAGUUCAAAGCAGAUUGGCUCGUGGUCUCAGAUCUUCAGUAUUUGUUUAGCGUGGCUACGCCCAUUUUAUAGUCGUUUUACUGUAGCCUGAACUGAACUGCUUCUGUGGUAUGUCAUCCACUCUGAUUUAGUAGCUUAAUUAACUUGCAAAAGUGUAACUUUUAUGAACCUUGUUCGACAAGAUUUGAUCAUUAUCUUCCAUGCAUGGCAUAUUAAACGGCUUUGUGCUUCAGUUGAAGACAAAAAAAA
Long non-coding RNA from Oryza sativa Japonica Group (Japanese rice), 892 nucleotides. RefSeq lists it as uncharacterized. The record is from RefSeq and is a predicted model, not a curated record. Lineage: Eukaryota; Viridiplantae; Streptophyta; Magnoliopsida; Poales; Poaceae.